UAGGUUUUUCUGAGUAUGGAGGAUUGGGCUUUACCUAAAGAUGAUAUUCAAUCGGAGAUUAAAAAUGCUAAAAGUGCUCCUGGUGUCGUGCCAUCCAGCAUCCCCUCAUGUAGAUCGGCCUCCACAUCAUUGUUAGACGGUGGCUUUUGUGCGAGCUCAGCUGAGGAUGCUGUGAGGUCUCGACUCUAGAGAAGGGCUUGUGUUGCUUUCUCAAGCGACAAAGGGGUGACGAUCCAGCUAUUAGAGUGUUCUUCUCUGGGUGUUUGAGCCGAUGUCGUGCUCUUGUUGCUGGUUAUGUCCAGGCUAUGGUGGUUCGUUUUUGCCCAACCGUCUGCGGCGGCCGGUGGUCGGCUUGCGCUGUACAUGUGGUUUCUCAGCAUGCCUUGGUCGUGUACGGAGGCUGAGCUUAGGGGUG
This 415-nucleotide unclassified non-coding RNA is filed under the name Hevea brasiliensis (rubber tree). The record is from RNAcentral. Lineage: Eukaryota; Viridiplantae; Streptophyta; Magnoliopsida; Malpighiales; Euphorbiaceae.